UACGGGGGGAGCAAGCGUUGUUCGGAUUUACUGGGCGUAAAGGGCGCGUAGGCGGCCCGCACAAGUCUGCGGUGAAAACCCCCGGCUUAACCGGGGGCCGGCCGUGGAAACUGUCGGGCUGGAGGCUGGGAGAGGGCAGCGGAAUUCCCGGUGUAGCGGUGAAAUGCGUAGAGAUCGGGAGGAACACCGGCGGCGAAGGCGGCUGCCUGGACCAGUCCUGACGCUGAGGCGCGAAAGCUAGGGGAGCAAACAGG
RNAcentral lists this ribosomal RNA (254 nucleotides) under uncultured bacterium. RNAcentral describes it as "partial 16S ribosomal RNA". It matches the Rfam family "Bacterial small subunit ribosomal RNA", at positions 524 to 776 of the family's 1533-position model. The record is from RNAcentral.